Non-coding RNA from Pantherophis guttatus, 628 nucleotides. Lineage: Eukaryota; Metazoa; Chordata; Lepidosauria; Squamata; Colubridae. The record is from RefSeq and is a predicted model, not a curated record.
GGGGUUAGCCGCAAGCUUUUCCGGAAGGUUUUUUUUUUCGCUUUCCCGGAUUAUUUGCUACUUUCCCACCCGAAUAUUAACGAAGUCCGACCCUGCUUAGUUUUUUAACAGCCGCUGCUAACAGGCUGGCAUGCAAAUACAAAUGCAGGUGUGACACUGUACUGAGAUUUCUCAGAAAUUUUGAAGUAUCUUCAACAUCAAGCACUUUUUCAGCAUUAUAAAACAUGGCAACAGGAUCAAAAGUAAAGAAAGCUUGCCUCCAGUGAAGAAUAGAAUUUGAUUGAUGGGUAAAAAAUGUAGAGAACGAUCUGUGCCAGGAAAAUAAUAUAGGCUUGAUGUAUGUGCCUCUAGUAAGACCAAGAAUGCACAGAACCUAGAAAAAAAAACUGCUUGAGAGCUGCAAAAGCCUUUAGCCAAUGACAUCACAGAAAUAAAGAAUGAUUGCCAUUUGUUCUAUUUUACCAAUGGAAGAAAAUUGAUUUCUUGCCUGAUCAUUCUAAGGAAAUGCAUUCUCAAUUUUUAAUGGAUUGUUAUUGUUGUUUUGUUUCCAUUUCUGCAGCAAAAUGGAGAAUAAUAUUUUUGUUAUUGCUGUUUAACCUACUGAUUAAAGGUACUAGUCCUGCAUUAC